Molecule: ribosomal RNA, 584 nt
Filed under: Escherichia coli
Lineage: Bacteria; Pseudomonadati; Pseudomonadota; Gammaproteobacteria; Enterobacterales; Enterobacteriaceae
Description: bacterial SSU rRNA
Rfam family: Bacterial small subunit ribosomal RNA
Source: RNAcentral
GCGAAGAACCUUACCUGGUCUUGACAUCCACAGAACUUUCCAGAGAUGGAUUGGUGCCUUCGGGAACUGUGAGACAGGUGCUGCAUGGCUGUCGUCAGCUCGUGUUGUGAAAUGUUGGGUUAAGUCCCGCAACGAGCGCAACCCUUAUCCUUUGUUGCCAGCGGUCCGGCCGGGAACUCAAAGGAGACUGCCAGUGAUAAACUGGAGGAAGGUGGGGAUGACGUCAAGUCAUCAUGGCCCUUACGACCAGGGCUACACACGUGCUACAAUGGCGCAUACAAAGAGAAGCGACCUCGCGAGAGCAAGCGGACCUCAUAAAGUGCGUCGUAGUCCGGAUUGGAGUCUGCAACUCGACUCCAUGAAGUCGGAAUCGCUAGUAAUCGUGGAUCAGAAUGCCACGGUGAAUACGUUCCCGGGCCUUGUACACACCGCCCGUCACACCAUGGGAGUGGGUUGCAAAAGAAGUAGGUAGCUUAACCUUCGGGAGGGCGCUUACCACUUUGUGAUUCAUGACUGGGGUGAAGUCGUAACAAGGUAACCGUAGGGGAACCUGCGGUUGGAUCACCUCCUUACCUUAAAGAAGC